GGAGCACGCCGCGUGAGUGAUGAAGGUUUUCGGAUCGUAAAGCUCUGUUGUUAGGGAAGAACAAGUACCGUUCGAAUAGGGCGGUACCUUGACGGUACCUAACCAGAAAGCCACGGCUAACUACGUGCCAGCAGCCGCGGUAAUACGUAGGUGGCAAGCGUUGUCCGGAAUUAUUGGGCGUAAAGGGCUCGCAGGCGGUUUCUUAAGUCUGAUGUGAAAGCCCCCGGCUCAACCGGGGAGGGUCAUUGGAAACUGGGGAACUUGAGUGCAGAAGAGGAGAGUGGAAUUCCACGUGUAGCGGUGAAAUGCGUAGAGAUGUGGAGGAACACCAGUGGCGAAGGCGACUCUCUGGUCUGUAACUGACGCUGAGGAGCGAAAGCGUGGGGAGCGAACAGGAUUAGAUACCCUGGUAGUCCACGCCGUAAACGAUGAGUGCUAAGUGUUAGGGGGUUUCCGCCCCUUAGUGCUGCAGCUAACGCAUUAAGCACUCCGCCUGGGGAGUACGGUCGCAAGACUGAAACUCAAAGGAAAUUGACGGCA
RNAcentral lists this ribosomal RNA (540 nucleotides) under Bacillus sp. B 1 RR-2016. RNAcentral describes it as "bacterial SSU rRNA". It matches the Rfam family "Bacterial small subunit ribosomal RNA", at positions 388 to 918 of the family's 1533-position model. Lineage: Bacteria; Bacillati; Bacillota; Bacilli; Caryophanales; Bacillaceae. The record is from RNAcentral.